UACGUAGGUGGCAAGCGUUGUCCGGAUUUACUGGGCGUAAAGAGCGCGCAGGCGGUCGAGUAAGUCGAAUGUGAAAGCCCCCGGCUUAACUGGGGAGGGUCAUUCGAUACUGUUCGACUUGAAGGCAGGAGAGGGCAGCAGAAUUCCCGGUGUAAUGGUGAAAUGCGUAGAUAUCGGGAGGAAUACCAGUGGCGAAGGCGGCUGCCUGGCCUGUUCUUGACGCUGAGGCGCGAAAGCUGGGGGAGCAAACGGG
RNAcentral lists this ribosomal RNA (253 nucleotides) under uncultured bacterium. Its description in RNAcentral is "partial 16S ribosomal RNA". It matches the Rfam family "Bacterial small subunit ribosomal RNA", at positions 524 to 776 of the family's 1533-position model. The record is from RNAcentral.